UUCAUUCAUCAGUUCACAGUGGUAUAUCGUUGGGAAGUCUAUUUAACGCGGUUGUAGCGUAGUUUGCGGCGGAAUAAAUAACAAAAAUUCUGACAAGUGAAAAAUGUGUUACAGUCUAUUGUGAUUGUGUAUUAUUACAUUAAAAUUGUUAUAUUAUUUUUCUAACACUUAAAUAUUUUUACGUGAAACUUUCAAAAUGAGGUUAGCAGGAGCGAUUUUCACGAAUGUGACGAAAAUGCUUGAUUUCUACUCGCAGUUCAACCCUUCGCCGUUGUCCAUCAAACAAUUCAUUGACUUCGGUCUGAACGCUUGCGAGAGCAAAUCAUUCACGUUCCUAAAGAAGGAGCUACCAGUCAGGCUCGCGAACAUAAUGAAGGAGAUAGCGUUACUCCCUGAGAACCUACUUCGAAUGCCUUCGGUGGGUUUAGUCAACCAAUGGUACGAACGCUCAUUCGAGGAAAUAACACGCUUUGAACAGAUGGAACCAGAUCCUCCGACGCUGACCCAGUUCUGCGAACGUCUUGUCCACAUAAGGAACCGGCACGCUGACGUCGUUCAGACGAUGGCCCAGGGUGUGCUAGAGCUGAAAGAGUCUCACGAAGUUGAUCCCGGAACGGAGAACUCCAUACAAUACUUCCUGGACAGAUUCUACAUGAGUCGGAUAUCUAUUCGGAUGCUUAUUAACCAGCACACUCUGUUGUUUGGCGAGCAGCUUGGCGGCAAGCAGGCGUCGGUCAAUGGGAUCGGCAAUGGUGGCCGUCACAUCGGCUCCAUAGACCCGGCCUGCGACGUCGUGGCCGUCGUUAGAGACGCCUACGAGAACGCAAGGUUCCUCUGCGAUAGAUACUACCUAGCCUCACCAGAGUUGGAGGUACUGCAGGACGGAGUGUCGAGUCUGCGCCCGAUGCCCAUAGUGUAUGUGCCCUCGCACCUCUACCACAUGCUGUUUGAGCUAUUCAAGAAUGCCAUGAGGGCCGUCAUGGAGAACCACGGCACCGCCCCACCGCCGAUACAAGUUAACCUCGUCAACGGGAAAGAGGACAUAUCCGUUAAGAUGUCUGAUCGCGGCGGCGGCAUCCCGCGCAGCGUGUCGGAGCUUCUGUUCAAGUACAUGUACAGCACGGCGCCGCAGCCCUCCAAGUCCGACUCGCACACGGUGCCGCUAGCGGGUUACGGAUACGGGCUGCCCAUCUCUCGCCUGUACGCGCGGUACUUCCACGGCGACCUGGUGCUGGUAUCGUGCGAGGGUUACGGCACGGACGCCGUCAUCUACCUCAAGGCUCUAACGAACGAAGCCAACGAACUACUGCCGGUUUUCAAUAAGACGUCUUCGAAGUUCUACCGCCCCUCGUCCCAGCUGGCGGACUGGUCCGGCACCCUCAACUCCUCGAAUCAGUGCAGGAGGGAGAAAGUGUCUCCGCUCUCAUCACCGAUAUCGCACAGCCUAUAGUCCCCUAGGCUGGUAGUAGUCCGACCGGCGCCAUUCAGGUAUUCAGAUUUUACUGGUGGUAGGACCUCUUGUGAGUCCGCGCGGGUAGGUACCACCACCCUGCCUACUUCUGCCGUGAAGCAGUAAUGCGUUUCGGCUUGAAAGGCGGGGGCAGCCGUUGUAACUAUACUUGAGAGCUUAGAACUUAUAUCUCAUGGUGGGUGGGGCAUUUACGUCGUAGAUGUCUAUGGGCUUCAGUAACUACUUAACACCAGGUGGGCUGUGAGCUCGUCCACCCAUCUAAGCAAUCAAAAAAAAGGUACAACUUUCUGCAUCAUCAGAUCAUCAUCAAUGAUGCUAGUUCUGUUAGCUUGGCCUCUCCGAUGCUGACGUCACAGAGAUAGAGACAGCGAUAGUCGGUCGUCUCGCUCUAAAACUCGAGUCCACGAGGCGAGUCCGAACGACCUAACGAUUCGGUUUUAUUGCCCAACUCUGAAGAUCCUAUAUAGAACUUUGUUUGGGACAUUAUAGAUAUACACGUUUUUCGCUGUGUGUGUCUGUGUGGUGAUAUCGAAAAUUUCAUAUACCGCAUAUAUAAUGCCAAUAAUAAUGUCACUUAUGCAAAAUUUAUGUUCAAACUGAACUGAGUUUAAGAAAAUACAUUUUGUCUCAGUUAUUAGUGAGAGGUUUGCUUUUACUGAUGAAGUUUUAAAGUUGUAGUUUUUAUAUUAUAAUAAUUUCAUUUCAUUAGUCGAGAAGAACUAUUUAAUUGUAAUAAGAUGUUCAAUUUUCAAAGGGCUCUCUUGAAAAAAAAAUACAUAAUUUGCAUAAGUGACGAUGUAGCAACGACUGUGGGAUAUGGUUAAGGGAAGCUGUACCGGGACUGUUUCUUUAAAAUUUAAAAAAAGUGUUUGCCGAAAAAUCGUUGUCGAUGGUUCGUGUUUGACAGCUUUGACGUUUGUCAAAGUAUUUGUUAAUUUUUUUUCUAAGUUGACAAAGCGAAGCUUAAAUAUAAGGGGAAGUUUAAAAAUGUUUCUGAAUAGUUUGGUCAUUAACUAUUGUGUACAAAAUAAAGUAGUCUAGAUAAUAUAUAAUUAAAAAAAAACUAGGAAUAGAUGUAUUUUACGUCAGCAUUAGGAUCACAAGGUCGAGUCAGUUAUUAUACGCGAUUCAAAUCUCGCACGGAUGGGUAGACAGGUGGUGUGAAGUCGAUGCCCCAGUCCAUAUACGUCACGACGCGAACGACCCAACAUUGAGACGUGAGGUCGAACCAAAAGCACGUCAAGUUAGGCAGUUAGGCAAGUUAAGCAGUUUCUUUGACAUCUGUCAAAUAUGACAGAAGCCGGAAUCUCGCAUUUCUUACGUCGAUUCCUACAAAAAAACAAUUAAACAAUCAAAAAAUCAUAUUGUUUUAAGUAGUAGUAGUUUUAUUUUUCCAACUGGAAAGGCAAAGGCGUCACACCAUACAGCCUAAUCUUUUAUAUUUAAGUGUAUUUAUAUGAUAAAUGUUUCAUGGCAUGAAAUGAAAUGAGAUGAUAUGGGAUUAAAUAUAAUCUCAGUAAAAUGGUGUUCAUUAACUGAGACUUUCUCAGUGAACUUUUUGGAGGAUCCCGAGGAGUUACGUCAAGCGGCUUUGUUACAUUUUCCCACACGCGAUAUUUUAAUACGAUCUCGUCAAAUUGACAUCUCGUAUCGACCUUGUGCCUCUAACGUUGACAAUUAAUUAUUAAAAGUUAUUAUUUAAUUAAAAUUCGAUUGUGAUAUUCGUUUUAAAACGACCAUUCGGUUCUAACUUUUAUUAUAAUUUCUAUAUCGUUUCAACCUCUCAGACUGGACUAACAUUAAAUUGUCAUUACCAGAGGUCCCGCAGUAGUCGAAAUCCGACUAUAAUUAAUUGGAAUCGUAAGUUUGUACACUAUUAUGAUUGUAUUUUAUACUUCUAUAAUCACAAAUUUCGCCAAGGCUACACUAUAGAAAAAUAUUAAUACAGACAAACAAUAUUUAAUCUAUUCUCAAUUUGACCACCGACGUCAAAAACAAAAGUUUGACAAUAAAUAGUAUGCAUGCGUGUGUGCGUCAAAUACAUGGUAUGUAGUGUGUGUAAUGUUUUCUUUAUUGAUUUAAUGUAUCUUUUAUGCACUAUUUAAAAAAAAUACUAGCAUUGUGCACUUCUCGAUAUUCUCUAUAAGUGUGGAAAAUUUCAUAUUCCUCCGUCCGCGCAAUUUUCGUAAAAAGGGAUACAAAGUUUUUGCUUCACGUAUUAAUAUAUAGAUAAACGAUAAGAUAUCGAGAGGUGAAAGGUUAUUUAGUUUAAGCGACAUUUCGCUUAACACGCGACAUUUUUCUUUGUAAUUUUGAUAUCAGCAUCAACAGUUCGAUGUUUUUAAUUGAACUUCAAUUAAGCUUACUCCGUUCAAAUAGCUAAAGAAGAAGCUUUUGUUACGAUAUCUUUUCAAAUUUUAAACUUACAAUGGCUCUCCUGUAGAGAUGCAAAAUUGUGACUUAAAAUGUCGCGUAUUUACGCAAAUUAUAAUUUUGCGGGUAUUUUUUUUAUUACACGAUGUUAUUCCUUCACCGUGGAAGUCAAUCGUGAACAUUUGUUGAGUACGUAUUUCGUUAGAAAAAUUGGUACCCGCCUGCGGGAUUCGAACACCGGUGCAUCGUUACAUACUAAUGUACCGGACGUCUUAUCUUUUAGGCCACGACGACUUCAAACAUAAUCAUCUUAAUAUAAAUGAAAUUGCUAGUGUAACACGAGGACAUUGAACCCACGCUUCAUCUGUUUGUCUUUCAUUGCGCGCUGCUCAAGAGGCAUUAGAAAAAAAUUAUCGAUACAUUGCUUCAUUGAAUCGCGAAUCAACACUAUGUUUUAUUUUAUAGAAAACAGUUCAUAUAUGAAAAGUUAAAAAAAAUAAAAGUUAAUGACAUAUUCGUAUGACAGUGAAAUCAAAUUAAUUCUGAGAGGUUGAAAUUAGUUCGGCAAAGAUAUUAUGUUUAAUUUUAAGUAUAAUCAUAUAUAAUGAUUUUAUUAUACAAAUAUACGUAUAGAUACUAGCAGACCUGUCAGAUAUUGUUCAACCUAUAAGAGAAUGAAACAAAAAUCCUGGAUACAAUGUUUAUCGAUACUAUAAAAAAAUGUACUUUUCAAUAUAAAUAUACACAUUAUCAAUAACGAAAUUAUUACUUACACAUCUUAACUUUAUAUAUCGACGCUUGAAAGGCAAACGUGACUAAGCGACAAUGCGUAAACUUUACAGUAGACUAAUUUAAAGUUAAAAUACAUGAAAAAAAAUUAUAUUUUAACGAAUCUACGGUAGGCAGCGGCUUGGCUCUGCCCUUGGCAUUGCUGAAGUCCAUGGGCGACGGUAACCACUCACCAUCAGGUGGGCCAUAUGCUCGUCUGCCUACAAAGGCAAUAAAAAAAAAAAAAAAAAAACUAGCUGUAGGAUUUAAAUGAUUUUAACAGACCUAGAAAUAUAUUUUUUUGCGCAUCGAAUAUGGUUAUUGCCUAUAAUUUAUGUACAAAGCAGUUAUUGUCGCUUAGUCACGUUUGCCUUUCAAGCGUCGAUAUGUACUUUACAUAAAUAUAUUUUUUAGUUUCUAUAAAAUAAACGUUUUGACUAUAGACUGAUAUUGACUAUAUGAUAUCGAGCGAUGAAAGGGAUAUAAUUUGUUUUAAGCAAUAUUCGCUUGACACGCGAUAUUUAUCUUUGUAAUGAAAGGUCCGUUUUAUUUAAUAUCAGCAUCAGCAGUCCAUUGUUUUUAAUUGAACUUUUAUUAAGUUCACCCCAUUCAAGUAACUGAAGAAGUUUUUUUUUUUUGUUUCAAAUAAUAUUUUUUUCCAAAUUUUAAACUUUAAAUGGCUCUCUCAUGUAAACACAAAAUAUUACUGACACUUUAAGGCUAUUUAGCUUUUCACUCCUCGAUAUGGUAUUGACUUAUGAUAUUGAGUUUGAUAAUACUUCAAAAAGACCCGUAACUUAAUAUGACGUAUCUGACUUAUCUGACUGCAUCUAUGAGUUUUAUAUGAAAAAUUAAAUUAUAUUCAAAGUAAAGAAUUAAAAAAUAAAUACACUUUUCGAAUAUUUCGCAAGAACAUCACGAAUUAACUUAUUUACAAAAAAAUGCAUACUUAAAUUAGUUUAAUUAGUGCAUGUGUUUUAUCAGUUAUUCUCAAUCAGAGCUGUGUCCCUCGCCAUUAAUGUGAGCCAUGUCAUUUUGUAAUUGUAUAGGUAUUACUGAACUCCAGGGGCGAUGUCUAAGACUCGAUAAAACCGAAGUAAUAUCCACAUUUUUAUAUUAAAAUGAAAAAACAUCAAAUUGUAAUUGAAAAUUAAUGGAAAAUGAACAUAAAAGUAAAGAAACAAAUAUAAUAACCAAAAUAUAUUAUUAAAAUGAGUCCCUUUGAGUACUAAAAAACUAAAAACAGUAAAAGUUUAUUUUUGUGUGAUGUAAAACGCGAUGAGAAAGUUUGAGAAUCACUGAUUUAAAUAUACUAAUUAAAUUUUAUAUUGGAUUUAUUCAGUGGCCACGAUAUAUGUGGGACUGAAUUCAAACCGUACUGAAACGAUAAGGCUAUAUUCACUCAUACUCAAACAAUUGCAGCUCAGAAUGUACCCUAAUUAAUUAUUAAGUACUUUUGCAUUUUAUAUUACUUUUGGUUUUUUUUUAUUUUUUAUUAAUAAUGAAUUAAUUCCAGAAGCUUGUGUAAUAUUUAGUUUGUAUGUUUAGUUGUUAAGGAUAAAGAAGAUAUAAUUUUAUAAAUAAAAAUUUUAAAGGAA
Molecule: RNA transcript, 6210 nt
Organism: Bombyx mori (domestic silkworm)
Lineage: Eukaryota; Metazoa; Arthropoda; Insecta; Lepidoptera; Bombycidae
Gene: Pdk
Gene name: pyruvate dehydrogenase kinase
Exons: 10
Source: RefSeq, marked validated